CUAUGUGUUGUUGGGUAGGGGAGCGUUCUGUAAGCCUGUGAAGGUGGCCUGUGAGGGUUGCUGGAGGUAUCAGAAGUGCGAAUGCUGACAUAAGUAACGAUAAAGCGGGUGAAAAGCCCGCUCGCCGGAAGACCAAGGGUUCCUGUCCAACGUUAAUCGGGGCAGGGUGAGUCGACCCCUAAGGCGAGGCCGAAAGGCGUAGUCGAUGGGAAACAGGUUAAUAUUCCUGUACUUGGUGUUACUGCGAAGGGGGGACGGAGAAGGCUAUGUUGGCCGGGCGACGGUUGUCCCGGUUUAAGCGUGUAGGCUGGUUUUCCAGGCAAAUCCGGAAAACCAAGGCUGAGGCGUGAUGACGAGGCACUACGGUGCUGAAGCGACAAAUGCCCUGCUUCCAGGAAAAGCCUCUAAGCAUCAGGUAACAUCAAAUCGUACCCCAAACCGACACAGGUGGUCAGGUAGAGAAUACCAAGGCGCUUGAGAGAACUCGGGUGAAGGAACUAGGCAAAAUGGUGCCGUAACUUCGGGAGAAGGCACGCUGAUAUGUAGGUGAAGCGACUAGCUCGUGGAGCUGAAAUCAGUCGAAGAUACCAGCUGGCUGCAACUGUUUAUUAAAAACACAGCACUGUGCAAACACGAAAGUGGACGUAUACGGUGUGACGCCUGCCCGGUGCCGGAAG
RNAcentral lists this ribosomal RNA (677 nucleotides) under Escherichia coli. RNAcentral describes it as "partial 23S ribosomal RNA". It matches the Rfam family "Bacterial large subunit ribosomal RNA", at positions 1214 to 1875 of the family's 2925-position model. Lineage: Bacteria; Pseudomonadati; Pseudomonadota; Gammaproteobacteria; Enterobacterales; Enterobacteriaceae. The record is from RNAcentral.